GCCCUGUGGUUCCUAGAGUCGGCUCCAAAGUGCCGAACUGUAGGUUUGAAUGAAAGGGCGCAUAGAAACUUCUGCGAUUUUAUGCAUGGAACCUGCAGCUAUAGCAGCGCUCCAUAGCCCGGUUGCAGAUACACUU
RNAcentral lists this small nucleolar RNA (136 nucleotides) under Cyprinodon variegatus (sheepshead minnow). RNAcentral's name for it is "Small nucleolar RNA SNORA84 (ENSCVAG00000007088.1)". It matches the Rfam family "Small nucleolar RNA SNORA84". Lineage: Eukaryota; Metazoa; Chordata; Actinopteri; Cyprinodontiformes; Cyprinodontidae. The record is from Rfam by way of RNAcentral.